Molecule: ribosomal RNA, 1171 nt
Filed under: uncultured bacterium
Lineage: Bacteria
Description: bacterial SSU rRNA
Rfam family: Bacterial small subunit ribosomal RNA
Source: RNAcentral
AGAGUUUGAUCCUGGCUCAGUAAGUCGUAACAAGGUAGAGUUUGAUCCUGGCUCAGAACGAACGCUGGCGGCGUGCUUAACACAUGCAAGUCGAGUGCGCGUGCCGUAGCAAUACGGCAUGGCGCACGGCGCACGGGUGCGUAACACGUGGGCAAUCUGCCCUUCGAUGGGGAAUAACCUCGCGAAAGCGAGGCUAAUUCCGCAUAACAUUCCUUGGACUUCGGUUCGAGGACUCAAAGCCGCAAGGCGUCGAAGGAGGAGCCCGCGCACGAUUAGCUAGUUGGUAGGGUAACGGCCUACCAAGGCUUUGAUCGGUAGCUGGUCUGAGAGGAUGGCCAGCCACACUGGAACUGAGACACGGUCCAGACUCCUACGGGAGGCAGCAGUGGGGAAUCUUGCGCAAUGGGCGAAAGCCUGACGCAGCGACGCCGCGUGGGGGAUGAAGCAUCUCGGUGUGUAAACCCCUUUCGACUGGGACGAAUGCCUCGCAAGAGGAGUGACGGUACCAGUAGAAGAAGCCCCGGCUAACUCCGUGCCAGCAGCCGCGGUAAUACGGGGGGGGCAAGCGUUGUUCGGAAUUACUGGGCGUAAAGGGUGCGUAGGCGGUUCGUUAAGUUAGAUGUGAAAACUCUGGGCUCAACCCAGAGCCUGCAUCUGAAACUGGCGGGCUAGAGUUCUGGAGGGGGUAGCGGAAUUCCUGGUGUAGCGGUGAAAUGCGUAGAUAUCACGAGGAACACCGGUGGCGAAAGCGGCUACCUGGACAGAAACUGACGCUGAGGCACGAAAGCUAGGGGAGCAAACAGGAUUAGAUACCCUGGUAGUCCUAGCCCUAAACGAUGGAUACUUGGUGUGACCGGGAUUGAAUCCGGUCGUGCCGAAGCUAACGCAUUUAGUAUCCCGCCUGGGGGAGUACGGUCGCAAGGCUGAAACUCAAAGGAAUUGACGGGGGCCCGCACAGCGGUGGAGUAUGUGGUUUAAUUCGACGCACGCGAGAACUACUGGGCUCGACGCUAUGGAAGUGCGAAAGUCGCUUUCCCGCAGGGACACUAGUCAGUGCUGCAUGCUGUCGUUCAGUCCGGUCCUGAAUGUUGUUAGUCCGACAGGCAACCCUGCCUUUAAUGCCAGUAGCUGACCCUUAGGACUGCCGGUAAAACCCUCGUGGAGAAAAAUG